RNAcentral lists this ribosomal RNA (406 nucleotides) under uncultured bacterium. Its description in RNAcentral is "partial 16S ribosomal RNA". It matches the Rfam family "Bacterial small subunit ribosomal RNA", at positions 30 to 526 of the family's 1533-position model. The record is from RNAcentral.
AUUGAACGCUGGCGGCAAGCCUAACACAUGCAAGUCGAACGAGUGGCGGACGGGUGAGUAAUGUCUGGGAAACUGCCUGAUGGAGGGGGAUAACUACUGGAAACGGUAGCUAAUACCGCAUACCAUCGGAUGUGCCCAGAUGGGAUUAGCUAGUAGGUGGGGUAAAGGCUCACCUAGGCGACGAUCCCUAGCUGGUCUGGUAGGAUGACCGGCCAAACUGGAACGUAGACACGGUCCAGACUCCUACGGGAGGAAGCAGUGUGGAAUAUUGGACAAUGGGCGCAAGCCUGAUGCAGCCAGGCCGCGGGUAUGAAGAGGGCCGUCGGGUUGUAAAGUACUUUCAGCGGGGAGGCGUUACCCGCAGAAGAAGCACCGGCUAACUCCGUGCCAGCAGCCGCGGUAAUUC